AAUGACUCUCGACAACAGAUAUCUUGGCUCUUGCAUUGAUGAAAAAUGUAGCGAAAUGUGAUACUUGGUGUGAAUUGCAGAAUCCCAUGACCAUUCGAGUCUUUGAACGAAAGUUAUGCCUAAAGCCAUUAGGCCAAGGGCGCGUUUGGUUGGGUGUCAUGCAACG
RNAcentral lists this ribosomal RNA (166 nucleotides) under Bikinia congensis. RNAcentral describes it as "5.8S ribosomal RNA". It matches the Rfam family "5.8S ribosomal RNA". From Rfam's summary of the family: 5.8S ribosomal RNA (5.8S rRNA) is a component of the large subunit of the eukaryotic ribosome. It is transcribed by RNA polymerase I as part of the 45S precursor that also contains 18S and 28S rRNA. The record is from RNAcentral. Lineage: Eukaryota; Viridiplantae; Streptophyta; Magnoliopsida; Fabales; Fabaceae.